UUAUGGUUCUGUAUAAUUUACAUUCAUUUAUUAAUUUGUAGUGCUGGUUUUGAUUGUUUAUGUUUUUGGGCUAAUCAGGCCAUUGGCUGACUCCCUCACCAGUGUGCUGACUACUGAACUAGGGAGCUGAUUGAGACGCACCCAGAGAUUUAGUUUGAAUUCAUUUUUCUGUCUGUUAAUGAUUCUGAUCUCAAACACACAGAGAAACUCCUGCUGAAGCACACUGUUAUAAAGAUGGAGUUUAUUAAAGAGGAGAGUGAAGACGUGAAGAUUGAAGAAACACUCAAACAUGAAGAUACUGAGACACAAACAGGCCUGAUGGUGUUGAAUGAGGAGAGUCAAGAACUGAAUGAAAGAGAAGAGAAAACUCAGUAUGAGAAACAUGAUUUCAUGGUUGGAGAAAAAUCCACAAAGACUGAAAAGAAUUCCUCACAAAAAAGAGGACAUAAAACCAAAUCCAAGAGUUAUUUCACUUGCCAUCAGUGUGGAAAGAGUUUUAAUCUAAAACAAAACCUUGAAGUCCAUAUGAGAGUUCACACUGGAGAGAAGCCAUUCACAUGCCAAGAGUGUGGAAAGCUUUUCAGUCAGAAAGGAAACCUUAAAAAACACAUGAUAAUUCACACCGGAGAAAGGCUGUGCACCUGUCAACAGUGUGGAAAGAGCUUCACAGCAGAACUGAACCUCAAGUAUCACAUGAGAAUUCACACUGGAGAAAACACUUUCAUCUGCCAAGAAUGUGGUAGAAGUUUCACUCAAAAACAUAGCCUCAAAUUUCAUAUGAGAAUUCACACCGGAGAGAAGCCCUACACUUGCACUCAGUGCGGAAAGAGUUUUGCUCAGAAAAACACCCUUAAUUACCACAUGAAUACUCACAAUGGAGAGAGAUCUUUCACCUGCCAACAGUGUGGAAAAAGUUUCGCUCACAAACAUAGUCUUAAAGUCCACAUGAGAAUUCACUCUGGAGAGAAACCUUACACUUGCACUCAGUGCGGAAAGAGUUUUGCUCAGAAAAACACCCUUAAUUACCACAUGAAAAGUCACACUGGAGAGAAAUUGUUCACAUGUGAUCAGUGUGAAAAGAGUUUCACAACAGAAGUAAACCUUGGGUAUCACAUGAACAUACACACUGGAGAGAAGCCGUUCAAAUGUGAUCAGUGUGGAAAGAGGUUCACACGUAAAAUAAGCCUUAGUAACCACAUGAGGAAUCACUCAGGAGAGAAAUGCUUUAUAUGUCUUCAGUGUGGAAAAAGUUUCAGUCAUAAAAGUAGCCUCAACACUCACACGAGACUUCACACUGGAGAGUACUCCUGCAAACUAUGUGGGAAGAGCUUCUCUCAAAUAGGAAUUCUUAAGAUUCACAUGAGAAUUUGCACAGGAGAGAAGCCAUUCAUAUGUGCGGAAAAUGAUUAACACGAAAGGAAAACCACACGAGGAUUCACGCAAGGGAUUUAUGUCAUCGGUGUGACACAGAGAAGCAGUUAAACAGUUAAAGUAAACCCUUAAACUUGCAUCAGAGUUUACACCAGAAAAUGUGCUUCUGUGUGAAAUUAAGGCAACUUUUACACUUCAGCUGAACAUGGACCCAAUCUGAAUGUCCACCUUCACCCUGCCCAGCCAUAUCACCCUGCAGCCCAAGACUGGUUGCCCACUGAAGCUAAGCAGGGUUGAGCCUGGUCAGUACCCGGAUAAAGGAGUGCCAGUUAGGAUGAUUUCAGGGGCCAGGUGAGGGAGAAGGGGCACAUUUUUUUACGGAGGGGGAGCCGAGUCAAGAUGAUGUUCAGGGGACCCAGAAACUAUAGCGAUGCCCUUGUGUGGGUCCUAAUGCCCCAGUAUAGUGAUGGAGACACUGUACUGUCAACAAGCACCAUCCUUUGGUGGACAAAGAAGACCAAGCUAUUCUGUUAUACAAAGUGCAGUGAUGAGUUCAAGGUUUACAAACUGAAAUGAAUCUUAGAGCACCAUGAUAAACAGCAUCCAGAGAAAAAAGAAGAUGGAGCAAUUUGAUACACUACAUCACCGUAAUCAAGUACAGAUAAAAAGUUGAGUAAUGAGAGAGCUAAAAGAUGUGUCGUCAACAAUGAUGCCAAGGUAUUUAUACUCUUUUACUAACUCAAUCACAUUACCUUGUAAUGUCUGGAGAGAAAUUCGAUUAUUUUCAAUUUUCUUUGAACUAAAAAAUAAUAUAUACUUGGUUUUAUCAGUAUUCAAAAUAAGUUUUAAGCUAUAAAGCCAUGACUGACUGAAUGACAUCAAAAGCUAAUCAAAACCUAUCAAACAUUGUAUAGAUUUUAAAAUCUUGCUUAUUACUUAUAAAGCCCUGAAUGGUUUAGCACCUCAGUAUUUGAACGAGCUCUUGUUACAUUAUAGUCCUCCACGUCCACCCCA
This is an RNA transcript of Cyprinus carpio (common carp), 2385 nucleotides long. It is a transcript of the gene named gastrula zinc finger protein XlCGF8.2DB-like, with no coding region annotated. NCBI's taxonomy places the organism in Eukaryota, Metazoa, Chordata, Actinopteri, Cypriniformes, Cyprinidae. The transcript has 4 exons. The record is from RefSeq and is a predicted model, not a curated record.